RNAcentral lists this ribosomal RNA (234 nucleotides) under uncultured bacterium. RNAcentral's name for it is "partial 16S ribosomal RNA". It matches the Rfam family "Bacterial small subunit ribosomal RNA", at positions 99 to 334 of the family's 1533-position model. The record is from RNAcentral.
CGGACGGGUGAGUAACGCGUGGAUAACCUGCCUCACACUGGGGAUAACAGUUAGAAAUGACUGCUAAUACCGCAUAAGCGCACAGUACCGCAUGGUACAGUGUGAAAAACUCCGGUGGUGUGAGAUGGAUCCGCGUCUGAUUAGCCAGUUGGCGGGGUAACGGCCCACCAAAGCGACGAUCAGUAGCCGACCCGAGAGGGUGACCGGCCACAUUGGGACUGAGACACGGCCCAA